Chinchilla lanigera (long-tailed chinchilla) is the source of this 939-nucleotide long non-coding RNA. RefSeq lists it as uncharacterized. NCBI's taxonomy places the organism in Eukaryota, Metazoa, Chordata, Mammalia, Rodentia, Chinchillidae. The record is from RefSeq and is a predicted model, not a curated record. The transcript is spliced from 3 exons.
CCAUAACUAAAGCUCAGUGGCUUCCUCCUGCAACCGGAGGCAGAGAGGAACAGCCGCGGGGACGGGCGCGGAAUGCCUCCGCCCCGCAGGGUCCUGGAGUCUGGUCGGCCGGCAGGAGGUAGCAGGUCACAGUGGACACAGGGGCCAGCUGGGGUCAGCCAGGUGCAAGAGGUGGGACGGGGCAGAACCCGGACUCUGGGCCACGCCAGCCUGUGGCCUCCUGGCCCAGAUCAAACAGUGCACUCGGCGCGGGCUACAGGGACUUCGGAGGCGGGGCAGAGUCGGAGAUGAGAGCUGCCCCAGGAUGGAAGGUGGGGGCACCCGUCCGGGACAGAGAACCGGACGGACACGGAGAACACGCAGCCAGGCUGUGUGGGCUUACUGCGGCGGAAAGGAAGUUCACUCCGCAGGCCAGGGGAACGGCUUCCAGGGCCGCAGUGUCCCAAACACCCGCACUAACCUCCGCCCGCUGCACAUGGGACCCUGGGACGUCUGUUCUUUGGAAAACUCACAGCUGAUGGAAAUGAAGGCUCAGAAACGGCGCCUUUUGGCGCCUACCUCUCCACUCUGCCUUCGUCCCGCCCUCCUUGGCCUCCUGGAGCAUUGACAGUGAAGUCUCCAGACCCACAAACUCCCCCAGUCUGGUGCCGUUUUCAGUCGUCCCCACCGGUCCCUUCCCCGUUUUGGGGAAAGGCACAUGGCUCUUCCCGGCUGGUACAAGAUCUCUGCGCCAUCAGCCCGACCGUCCCCCCGUGCAGCUGUGGUGCCCAGCGCCCAGCGCCAAACAACCCGCUCCUUCCUUCACGGGACAGGGCACUCCCGUUCUGCUCCUGGCGGCGUUCUCCUCAAUAAACCCCUCUACAGGGGGACCUCAUCGAGCCUUUAGACCACAAGACCUUUCCUUUCUCAUUUGUUCAGACCUCAGCGGAGGCCUUGUCA